GACGAACGCUGGCGGCGUGCUUAACACAUGCAAGUCGAACGGAAAGGCCCUGCUCUUGUGGGGUUCUCGAGUGGCGAACGGGGGAGUAACACGUGAGUAACCUGCCCCUGACUUUGGGAUAAAUUCAGGAAACUGGGGCUAAUAUAGCAUAGGAGCUCCUGCUGCAUGGUGGGGGAUGGAAAGAUUCGGCGGUUGGGGAUGGACUAGAGGGUCAUGCGCUUGUUGGUGGAGUAGGUGAUGACCAAGGCUAUGACGGGUAGGCGGCCUGAGAGGGUGAACGGCCACAUUGGGACUGAGGUACGCCCCAGACUCCUACGGGAGGCAGCAGUGGAGAAUAUGGCACAACGGGCGCAAGCCUGAUGCAGCAACGCCGCGUGCGGGAUGACGGCCUUCUGGUUGUAAACCGCUUUCGCCUGUGACGAAGCGUUAGUGACGGUAAUGGGUCAAGAAGCACCGGCUAACUACGUG
RNAcentral lists this ribosomal RNA (468 nucleotides) under uncultured bacterium. RNAcentral describes it as "partial 16S ribosomal RNA". It matches the Rfam family "Bacterial small subunit ribosomal RNA", at positions 28 to 507 of the family's 1533-position model. The record is from RNAcentral.